Cyanistes caeruleus (blue tit) is the source of this 2545-nucleotide non-coding RNA. The record is from RefSeq and is a predicted model, not a curated record. Lineage: Eukaryota; Metazoa; Chordata; Aves; Passeriformes; Paridae.
UUAGACAGGAUUUCAGUGGGAAUUUCUCUGGAGCUGGAAUACUGAAGUCAUGCUGACUUUUUGUGCAAAGUGAAAAUGGCACAGACUCCUAGACACAUCCAUUCACAUACCAAUGGAUCCAUGCAAUAUUUGCUCUUGUAUUUGCUUUGAGAAUGUCACAGCAGCACAGAUACUGCAGUUAGGUGCAUGGCUGUGGUGAAGCACUUUGAUUUAUUUCCCCAGACUACAAGGACUUUUUCACUGCCUUCUGCUAUCAGCUAAGAAAAAGGAGCUUUUUAUUUUCACAGUGGCACUCCAAGCUUUCUCAGAUCUCUGAAAUGAGUGAUCCAGAUGUUAAAGGACACAGCAGGACUCAAUGGGGAUUUGGAAAAGACUGGCAAAUAGGUACACAAGACUGUCCUCUGAGUCACACAAUUUAGUAAACUGUGAUUAUACUAAACCCCAAAUCAGAAAACUGGGAAAUUAUGGGAAAAUGUCUGAAGGCAUGUUGGAAUGUUUAUGAAAGAAAAUAGAAGAAAGUCAAAUUUCCAGUGUUUCCAUAUAAUGGUAAGCCAGACAGGACAUAAUACCUACUUUUCUUAGGAACUUAGAACUAACGAGCAAGGUCUUUUAUGUCUGAUUAGACCAGGAGAAAUUGGGACCAGAAGAAAAAUUUGUGUCUUCAGCAGUCUCACUGAGGAUAGAUAGCAUCAUGUUCUGGGCUAAGUCUGUGAAAAAGAUGGAUGAAAAUGACACAAAUAAAUACUGAACUCAUUAACUGGAAAGAGCAUCUCUGUCUCAGCCACCGAGGAGGGGAAUGACUGUCUUUGAUCUUGGCAGUAGCAGUUCAGUCUGCAGUUAGUAUGUUCAUGAAAUACUGAGAAGCAAAACACGGAGAAGUACACAUUGGGCCCUAGAAGGACAUACUAUGUCAGUAAAUUAGCAUGGGAAAUUAUUCCUCCUCUCACAUGAGAAAUACAUGUGUUAGCAGAAGAUCUGAUGUAAAUUUCCUUAGGCAGAGACCCUGCAUCACUGUUCUCCCUGCCAACCUAAAGGUUAAAUACUUAGCCCUAUAGUUAAAUACUGUGCUUUUUGGUUCAAGCAAUUUCUGUGAAGUGUCAGAAGUUAAUGUGUGUGGGGGAGCGUGUGUGUGUGUGUGUGUGUGUGUGUGUGUGUGUACACAUGGUUUUUUUGAGAAAAGGAUUUUGCUAAAAAAGCUGUAAAGGGAAUUUAUGCUGGCAAACCCUCAGGAAGAAUAGGGGAAGAAAGGGUUUUGAUAAUACUAACAUUAGUUACAUUUCUGUGCUGGGCUUUGUGGGUGUAUUUCAGUGAAUAAGAGUACUGAUAAGGUGGCACAUUAAGUCCCUGGACUGAAGGCAUAAUGUGAUAUCACCAGGAACAGAAACAUGUUUGAGAUUCAACUUUUCUGACACAUUCAUUAGUACUAUUCUUGCAAAAAUUUCAGUAUGAGAAACGCUGACCUGAGAAUAAAAGUUUUGGCAGCUAUUUGUCAUUAUCUUGCUCUAUCUCCAAGUUAACCGCAUGCAGGGAGUGAGACUGUACUUGAGAACACCUGGAAAACAUCUGUGUUUUUAAGGAACAACACAAUUAAGCUCUCUCCUUUCAUCGGCAGGAGACCACACUUCUACUGCAUAGCAAUUGAAUAUAGUUUUUCUUUUAUGAUCACCAAAACUAGUGUACAGUAUGCAGAAUGUUUCAUGGGAAAUAUGAAGUGUUCAUUGCCCUUAUUCACUGAAGAGAUUGGAAAGAGAUGGAAAUCCAUUCUAAUUUAGCACCUGCUUUUGUCAUCCUCAACAUUUGCAGUCCAUGUGCUGUAACUCUUGCUUUACAGCCUGUCAAGUUUGUUUACAGAAGCCUCACCCCUGGAGCAAGCAAGAUAACCAAAGUAACCUGGUCAAAGACAAGGAAGAAAAGACUUCAAAUACGGGAUGAUGGGAUCCUGCAGAGGGAACAUGGACUCCUUAAUCACUCAGUAUUGUUUCUCAGGGGAAAGUUUCUCAUCUAUCCCUUUUUUCCCCCUCUUCUUACCCACAGAUAAAAGGUGUAGCCCCCUUGCCUUUACAUGCCUGCCCUUUCCAUCCUUCCCCACUCCGGCAUUUGAAUGCAGUUUUUCUGUAAAACACAAGCAGUAAACUCAAAGGAGGGGGAACCCCCCCCGCCCCCGAUAAAUAUAUCUAAAUGGGUAUAUUCCCUUUUCCCAAACAUUCUACUGAUUAUUUUCCCUAAAACAUCUACUUUUUUGUUCUGUCAGUCCCUAGCCGCUCUCCUGGCCUUGUUGAAAGCUUUUUAAUUCAGAGCCAAAGAGGAGGCCAGCUGACUGCAGGCAGGGCCUCACCUCAAUCUGCCUCCUGCAGCCUCAGCCCUCUCUGAGAGGGAUGGAUCACUUAAUUGUAAUUAUACUGCGCCAGCGUUUGCCUUUGCAAGUGCAGCAACUUUCAUCAAAGCACUUUUCGAAUAUAAGAGACAAGUACAAUUUCAAAAUAGAGCAGUUUGAACCAUUCUAUUUAAUCCAAUAAAAUGUAGUGGCAAAUGGUAUUUAAAAAAA